UUUGUUUGACCAUGUUAGACCUAUGAGAAUUUAAUUGGACUUGUUGAAGUUGAUUUGAAUUAAAUAUAGUUUCUGAUUUCAAAAAUUAUUGAGAAAAUUUGUCAAAGUUUGUUUGACCAUGUUAGACCUAUGAGAAUUUAAUUGGACUUGUUGAAGUUGAUUUGAAUUAAAUUUGAGGUUUGACCAUAUUUUUCUUAUUUUAUUUUGCAUUUAUUUUUAAUUCAAAAAUUACCAAAAAAUUAUGGUUGACUUGUUGACUUGUAAUCUUCAUUUCUUUUUUGUUUAGCAUUGAUUGAUGAUGACUUGGUUCACAUUUGAUCAAUUGAAUUUGAUACUUGCAUUCUC
This 345-nucleotide long non-coding RNA is filed under the name Lathyrus oleraceus (garden pea). RNAcentral's name for it is "Pisum sativum (pea) long non-coding RNA (PSAT_LNC022151)". The record is from RNAcentral. Lineage: Eukaryota; Viridiplantae; Streptophyta; Magnoliopsida; Fabales; Fabaceae.